ACGUAGGACACAAGCGUUAUCCGGAGUUACUGGGCGUAAAGGGCGUGUAGGCGGGAUGGUAAGUCUACUCUGAAAGCUCCUGGCUAAACUGGGAGAGGCGAGUGGAGACUGUCGUUCUAGAGUGAGGAAGAGGAAAGUGGAAUUCCGCGUGUAGUGGUGAAAUGCGUAGAGAUGCGGAGGAACACCAGUGGCGAAAGCGGCGCACUGGACCACAACUGACGCUGAGGCGCGAAAGCUAGGGGAGCAAACAGGA
This 253-nucleotide ribosomal RNA is filed under the name uncultured prokaryote. Its description in RNAcentral is "partial 16S ribosomal RNA". It matches the Rfam family "Bacterial small subunit ribosomal RNA", at positions 525 to 777 of the family's 1533-position model. The record is from RNAcentral.